This 253-nucleotide ribosomal RNA is filed under the name uncultured bacterium. Its description in RNAcentral is "partial 16S ribosomal RNA". It matches the Rfam family "Bacterial small subunit ribosomal RNA", at positions 524 to 776 of the family's 1533-position model. The record is from RNAcentral.
UACGGAGGGGGCUAGCGUUGUUCGGAAUUACUGGGCGUAAAGCGCGCGUAGGCGGCUUUGUAAGUUAGAGGUGAAAGCCCGGAGCUCAACUCCGGAACUGCCUUUAAGACUGCAUCGCUAGAACGAUGGAGAGGUAAGUGGAAUUCCGAGUGUAGAGGUGAAAUUCGUAGAUAUUCGGAAGAACACCAGUGGCGAAGGCGGCUUACUGGACAUCUGUUGACGCUGAGGUGCGAAAGCGUGGGGAGCAAACAGG